RNAcentral lists this long non-coding RNA (474 nucleotides) under Piliocolobus tephrosceles (Ugandan red Colobus). RNAcentral's name for it is "lncRNA (ENSPTEG00000020315.1)". Lineage: Eukaryota; Metazoa; Chordata; Mammalia; Primates; Cercopithecidae. The record is from RNAcentral.
CCCACGCCCCUUGCGGCGGGGUGGGAGCCCAGCCGCACACUGCGCAUGCUCCGAGCGCGGCGCCCCCGACGCGGCGUUCGGCUCGGCUCGGGCAUUUCCGCCUCUUUGUUUUAAACUCCGGACGGGCUUUUUUCUCCUCCUCUUGGGGGGGACCCAGAGGGAGCGGCGCCCCCUCCCCCCCUCCGGCGCGGACCCCGCGUGCGCCUUGCUCGCCCGCAGCCCGGAGACCGCAGGCGUCACAAUGUAGCAGGGACCCCAGGCGUCGUGCUCAGAAAAUGGAAAAAGAGCCAGGGCCGGAAGGAGGGUGCAGAAGCGAGCCCGCGUGCGGAGCCAGGAGGCAGCGUCGCGUGGGAGUGCUGGCCUGAAGCCUCCAUGCCCCGGCAGAGGGACGGACACGCGGACGUCUAGCGGAGGUGAGGCCCGCGCCCCUGACCCCGGGGUCCUGCUGACUCCUUGUCCUGCCCUGUUGCCUGU